GUCGAGCGAACGGACGAGAAGCUUGCUUCUCUGAUGUUAGCGGCGGACGGGUGAGUAACACGUGGAUAACCUACCUAUAAGACUGGGAUAACUUCGGGAAACCGGAGCUAAUACCGGAUAAUAUUUUGAACCGCAUGGUUCAAAAGUGAAAGACGGUCUUGCUGUCACUUAUAGAUGGAUCCGCGCUGCAUUAGCUAGUUGGUAAGGUAACGACUUACCAAGGCAACGAUGCAUAGCCGACCUGAGAGGGUGAUCGGCCACACUGGAACUGAGACACGGUCCAGACUCCUACGGGAGGCAGCAGUAGGGAAUCUUCCGCAAUGGGCGAAAGCCUGACGGAGCAACGCCGCGUGAGUGAUGAAGGUCUUCGGAUCGUAAAACUCUGUUAUUAGGGAAGAACAUAUGUGUAAGUAACUGUGCACAUCUUGACGGUACCUAAUCAGAAAGCCACGGCUAACUACGUGCCAGCAGCCGCGGUAAUACGUAGGUGGCAAGCGUUAUCCGGAAUUAUUGGGCGUAAAGCGCGCGUAGGCGGUUUUUUAAGUCUGAUGUGAAAGCCCACGGCUCAACCGUGGAGGGUCAUUGGAAACUGGAAAACUUGAGUGCAGAAGAGGAAAGUGGAAUUCCAUGUGUAGCGGUGAAAUGCGCAGAGAUAUGGAGGAACACCAGUG
Molecule: ribosomal RNA, 671 nt
Filed under: uncultured Staphylococcus sp.
Lineage: Bacteria; Bacillati; Bacillota; Bacilli; Caryophanales; Staphylococcaceae
Description: bacterial SSU rRNA
Rfam family: Bacterial small subunit ribosomal RNA
Source: RNAcentral